AAUAAACGUUGGCGGUGCGCCUUAUGCAUGCAAGUCGAACGACUGAGCAUAUAACUUGUUAUGUGCUCAGUAGUGGCGAAUGGCUGAGUAACGCGUAAGUAACCCGCCUUGGAGUGGGAAAUACCCUGCCGAAAGGCGGGCUAAUGUCCCAUGUGGUAGUGAGGCGUAAGCUUCAUUAUUAAAGCUUUCGGGCGCUCCAAGAGGGGCUUGCGUCUGAUUAGCUAGUUGGUAGGGUAAUAGCCUACCAAGGCGAUGAUCGGUAGCUGGUCUGAGAGGAUGUCCAGCCAGAUGGGGACUGAGACACGGCCCCAACUCCUACGGGUGGCAG
This 328-nucleotide ribosomal RNA is filed under the name uncultured Chloroflexota bacterium. RNAcentral's name for it is "bacterial SSU rRNA". It matches the Rfam family "Bacterial small subunit ribosomal RNA", at positions 29 to 351 of the family's 1533-position model. The record is from RNAcentral. Lineage: Bacteria; Bacillati; Chloroflexota.